Molecule: long non-coding RNA, 430 nt
Filed under: Monodelphis domestica (gray short-tailed opossum)
Lineage: Eukaryota; Metazoa; Chordata; Mammalia; Didelphimorphia; Didelphidae
Description: lncRNA (ENSMODG00000042673.1)
Source: RNAcentral
UUAGAGAUGAACAUAUCUACUUUGGCUACUUUCUCAGAUGGAGGUUCCUAAGAGGAGCUCAUGAAUUGGAGGAAAAAGCUACAGGAGUAGAGAUAUCUCCAGUGUGAGGAACCAGCUGGAGGGAGAGAUUAAGUUGCUGUGCCUGGUUAGAGGUUGUCCUUGAGAUUCCAACUCUUCCUAAUUGGCCCCGGGGGAGAGAGGCGAGCUUGGCUCCUAUCAGAGGAAGACAGAGUUGUUGAGUGUCCAAAUGAAACCAGCAAACCAGCGAUGGUGUCUGAGGAUUCAGACAACUGGUCUGAGGUGAGUGCUAUCAUGGGGAAACAAGUCCAUCCCAAAGCUAGUGGCGGCUGACUAAUGGGACUAGGGUGGUAGGAGAGACAGGUCAUUUCUGGGAUUCCCAAUAAACUGAGAAAGCAAGAAGAAUAGCCCA